Molecule: ribosomal RNA, 208 nt
Filed under: uncultured bacterium
Lineage: Bacteria
Description: partial 16S ribosomal RNA
Rfam family: Bacterial small subunit ribosomal RNA
Source: RNAcentral
UCGGAUUGCAGCCUGCAACUCGGCUGCAUGAAGCUGGAAUCGCUAGUAAUCGCGGAUCAGAAUGCCGCGGUGAAUACGUUCCCGGGUCUUGUACACACCGCCCGUCACACCAUGGGAGUAGGUAAUGCCCGAAGUCGGUGACCUAACCGGAAGGAAGGAGCCGCCGAAGGCAGGACUUAUAACUGGGGUGAAGUCGUAACAAGGUACC